UCUGCUUUUCACGGACAGCCAGACCAGCCGUAAAUUUUUUUAGGGUUUGGUUCUUCUUCCACAAUGAAUCCAAGAGUCUUUUUCUUCUUCGAUCUCUGCAAGGCGGUGUCUAUAUUCCUCUAAAAUCGCUAAUUCAUCGAUCUUUUUUUUAGAAUAGAAGUCAGCCCUAUGUUUUUCAACCGUGGAGGCGAGAUUCAAACGUGGUGGAAAGACUUUCCGUCACCGGCUGAUCCGGAAAUCAAGUGAUUGAAUCACGAGCAGGGAAAGAUGGGUUUGGGUUUGAUCUUGGACUCAACGAAGAAUGAUGAACCAGAUCCAUAUACUCGCGGGUAUGCAUUGAUUUUAAGAUAAGAACUAUUGAGCUUGAUACUGAACACAUCAAGCUCCAGAUUUGGGAUACUGCUGGUCAAGAACGUUUUCGAACCAUCACCACUGCUUUAUUACCGAGGGGCAAUUGGCAUUUUGCUGGUGUAUGAUGUAACAGACGAAUAUUAGGAACUGGAUUCGUAAUAUCGAACAGCACGCUUCGGAUAAUGUCAACAAGAUCUUGGUAGGGAACAAAGCCGAUAUGGACGAGAGCAAGAGGGCUGUUCCAACAUCAAAGGGUCAAGCACUUGCUGAUGAAUAUGGAAUCAAGUUCUUUGAAACAAGUGCCAAAACAAAUUUAAAUGUGGAAGAGGUUUUCUUCUCGAUAGCAAAGGACAUUAAGCAGAGACUCACAGAUACUGACUCGAGAGCAGAGGAUGAAAAGAAGUGUAACCGGUUGUUUUUGUGACAUGCUCUUCGUAGCACCGUCAGACAGGAGCUAAGGUUCAUAAUUUAAAAGAAACAAAACUUUCUCAUAUUUUUCUACUUCAUAGUGGAUGAGUAUUAAGUUAGCUGUGAUGGUAUGUAGGGUUACUUGACUCCAUGUUCAGGGGAGACUCGCCUGCCUAUAUUCAAGCCCCCCAAUGGAGGGUCUGGAGGACAUCUUGACCAACCAAAUCAUGUGAGAUCACUGACCUAGAUCACAGGUUUCUUCUAAUGGAAAGAAUGUACUCAACUCACCGAAUGAUACUUUGAAGAUAUAAGAAAAACAACAUCUAAUAGUGUACUUGAAAAUCAUAAUACUCCGGAGAAGAUGCUAUUUCUUAUGUUUAUAUUUUAUUUUUUCUGACAUUAUAUGUUACACUACAAUUCUUUAGAUCAAUCUAUUGAACCAUUACUUUA
RNA transcript from Brassica oleracea var. oleracea, 1209 nucleotides. It is a transcript of the gene named ras-related protein RABE1c-like, with no coding region annotated. The record is from RefSeq and is a predicted model, not a curated record. Lineage: Eukaryota; Viridiplantae; Streptophyta; Magnoliopsida; Brassicales; Brassicaceae. The transcript has 8 exons.